UACGGGGGGAGCAAGCGUUGUUCGGAUUUAUUGGGCUUAAAGAGCGUGUAGGCGGCUAGGUAGGUCCGUUGUGAAAACUCGAGGCUCAACCUCGAGACGCCGAUGGAAACCAUCUGGCUAGAGUCCGGAAGAGGAGAGUGGAAUUCCUGGUGUAGCGGUGAAAUGCGCAGAUAUCAGGAAGAACACCCGUGGCUAAGGCGGCUCUGUAGUACGGUACUGACGCUGAGACGCGAAAGCGUGGGGAGCGAACAGG
RNAcentral lists this ribosomal RNA (253 nucleotides) under uncultured bacterium. Its description in RNAcentral is "partial 16S ribosomal RNA". It matches the Rfam family "Bacterial small subunit ribosomal RNA", at positions 524 to 776 of the family's 1533-position model. The record is from RNAcentral.